This 16040-nucleotide long non-coding RNA is filed under the name Gossypium barbadense (sea-island cotton). RNAcentral describes it as "long non-coding RNA (GBAR_LNC006261)". The record is from RNAcentral. Lineage: Eukaryota; Viridiplantae; Streptophyta; Magnoliopsida; Malvales; Malvaceae.
GAUUCUCCAACCGUCUUCCAACCUCUAUGAGUCCUCGAGCUCUGUAAGACAGGGAAAAGAGAGGGGUAAGCAUUUACAUGCUUAGUAAGCCCUAAUAACUGGGAAGUAAACUUACCAAUUAAUUAGCAUACAUCCAUAUUAGGUAAUAAAACCAACAAGAAUGAAAUAGUUUCCCUAUCAUAUGCACUCAAUCAACAAGUUAGUCCAUAACAAUACACCAUGUAAUUUGUCUUAAAUGAGCUCAUUAUCCAAGAAUUUCAUUUUUACAUCUCAUGUUAAUCCCAUGGAGUUUCUCGGAAAUCUCGAUGGAUUAUCCAUUUACCGUCAAGUCAUAAGAGCGAUCAUCUCAAGUACGCACUCCCGUGAACCUCACAUCAUAUAGCGGGAUUACCAGUCCAGGCUAAAUCCUCCGUAAUAUCAACUCAUAGGGUGAUGUCGGGAUUACUAGUCCAGGCUAAAUCCCUUGUAGUGACAAACACCCGUAAUGAGCUCAGAUCUGAAUUACCACUCCAUUCUAAAUUCAGACCCUAAUCGAAUUACCCAUCCGGGCUAAAUCCACAAUGCACACUGUAAGGACCCAAAUUUGCCCGGGCCCGAAGAAAAAACCAAAAUUAAAAAAAUCAUAAUUAAGUGUCCACAAGUACAAAUUACAUAACCCAGGUCUAAACCCAAAACAUUACAAACCCAAACCCAAAUUUUAGACCCAAAACCAAAUUAACACCAAUCCCAUGUCCCUAAUAUAAACCGAUACCCAGAAUGGGUCCAAACGGCCCAAGUACCAAACCAACUUCAGCAAACCCUAGGUCAUCCCCUUUCUCCUACGCCGCAAUAGCAACCCCAGCCUUCGUACUAGUGACCACGCCCUUGCACUGUACGACGCACCAGCACCAGUGCGCACCCCACACCUGUAGAAACAGACAAAGCAAUAACAGCACAUACCCAAUGCGAAAGCAAAGAAAUAAUUUUGUAUUUUUAUUUAUUUAUUUCUACCAUUUUCGGCUAUAAAGCCAGAAUUUUAAUCUUUGUAAAAGGAGGCACACUUACGCAUACAGAUAUUAAAUACAAAGAAAGAAAGAGAGGAAGGUGAUUUUCCUUUCUUUGAAUCUCCGAAUUUGUUGCGUUUUUUUCUUGAUCUAUUCCUUUCGACUUCUUUUUUUUUCAUUUUUCGCAUCUAAAACAAUAAAAAGAAAAGAAGAGAGUGAAACGAAACCUUACCUCGCAAAUCCGCUGUUGGUUCUUCCUUGCCUCGUCGAAGUCGAAGGUGGAGGAGGAAUCUUGAGGCCGAAAAUCCUCUUCAAAAGGCGAAUACGCCUGUGGUUGGAGACGAUGGGGGUGAGAGCCAAAUGAUUUGGCUAAAGGUCGGCUAAAAAAUAAACGAAAUGGGGACUAAGGUUUUGAAAUGGCUGAAUAGCCAAAUUUAGGGGUUUUUAAAGGUCUGAAUACGGUGUCGUUUUGGGCCUGAUUCAGUGGCUCCAAAAACGGCGUCAUUUAGAUGUUAGAGCUCCGCGCGUCGACCCGUCCCAGGACCCGGAUCCACGCCUCUAUGCCUCGAAUGGGGAAUUUGCAAUAUCAAUCCUUCCCUUUGUGCGCGCAUUCCAUUGGAAUCCUUAUGCGAUUUUAAUAUUUAAACUUUUUACUUUUAAUUCCAUUUUGAUUUCAAUUUAGUCCUUCCUUUAAUCUCAGCAGUGUAUUUUAUUUAUUAAAUAUCCUUUAGUUUAUUUUUCAUUUUAAUUGAAUCCUUUUAAUUUGUAUAGUUCAUUAUUUUUUUUAAUUCGUUUAGCAUUUAUUUUAUUUUCAUAUACAUUUUAAAUUACUUUGAUAAUUCACUCUUUUUUAUUAUAAAACUAUUAUCUUAAAAUUACUUUGUAUAUCAUGUUGUUGUCAAAAUUUUGUAUAAUAUUUAAUUUAUAUUUAAUUUAUAUUAAUACAUGUAUGAUUUAUGAUAAAUGUAGUUUUAUUUUGUACACAUUAUUAGUUCUAUGUUAUUUUACACAUGUAAUUUCUUUUAAAUCUAUUUAUUUGUAUUUCUUUUUAAAUUUAUUACGCAUAUAAUUUAUUCUCUAAAAACAUGUUUUAUUAUUUCCUUGUUAUUUAAAAUUAUUUCAUGUAUAUAUUGUUUUAUCAUAUAUUGGUUUGCUAUUCUGUCAUGUAUAUUGUUUAUUCUUUAUCUUUAUUAUAUCUUCAUUAUAUAUUAUUUACAUUGAUUUUCAUUAUUGUAUAUAUAUCACCACCCUUAAGUAGAUAUUUUGUUUUUAAAAAUAUUUUUGGUAUGAUAUUUGCUCCAAAUCUCUUCUUUCACAAUGUUUAUUUCGAUAUUAUUUAUUAGUUUUAUUUUUAUAUAUGCAAAUCAUUUCAAACCCAGAUGUUGCUUAUUUGUAAUUUUUCAUAUUAAAUAGUUUUCAAAUUGUUUCCAUAUUGUUUUGUAUAUUGUUUAUAUUGUUUUGUUAUAAAUUUAUUUUCAUACUUAUAUAUACGUAAAUGUUUCCUAUAUUAUCAGUUUUGAAUAGUUGAACAUUAUGUUUUUAUAUGCAUUGUUGAUCUUCUAUUAUUUCAUGUAUUUUCCUUUAAAUCUAUUUCAUUGUACAUUUCCUUUUAAAUCAUUUUUUAUACAUAUAUAUACAUAUAUAAAUUAAAAAAACCUAUUAUGUGUAUAGUUCAUUACACAAAAACAUAUUUUAUUACAUAUUCUUUUGUUAUUUAAGAACCUGAUACGAGAUCAAAGGCCCGACAAAUGCGUUCCAAACUAAAUGGGACCAUCCAGGAGUUUGUUAGUAAGGCCUUAGAUGCGUACACAAAAGAAAAGGAAAAUCAAGAUUUCAAAUAUUGGGAAUCUUGGUCCAAGACACCAAAUCUUGCAGCCAAAGCGCAUUGGAUCUCCAUUACGAGCAUCAACGAUUCAAUUUCGGUAGGAGAUGGAUCACAAGCCCAAAUUCUUGAGGGCAAGGCCCAAUAAGAAGAUUCCAAGCCCAAUCAAGAAAUCCACCCAUACUUAGUUGAAAAUCAGGCCAAAUUUCAAAGUGGCCCAAGUUGUAAAGUUUUAUUUUUAUUUAUUUAUUUUAUUUAGUUUAAAUUUUUAUAUUCAGUCCAAGAGUCCCAAAUAAAAGACCCUUGGCCGAAUUUCCAUAUUAAAAUAAUUAGGAGUUUUUUUUAGUUUUAGUUUUAGUGUUCUAAUUAAAUUAGGAAAACAUUUGAAAGGCCUAUUUAUAUGGCUUGGCUAGCCACCCUACAUUACAUUACAAUUACAUUGAAAAUUUCAGAUUUUAUUUGAGUGAAAAUUCUCUUUGAGUUCUUCAAGGAUUUUCUCUUGAGUUUUCUUUAGAAGUUGUUUUAACAAUCUUUUUGAUUGUGGGAGCCAUCUUCAACCUUCUUCUUGCCAUUGAUAUUCUUUGGAGGGGAGAUUAGAGCCGUUUGAAGGGAGUUGUGAGAUCUUUCGGGAUUUCAAGGCUUCUUAGGACUUAUCUUUUAAUUUCUUACUGUCAAUUCUUUCUUUAUUUCUGCUUGUGCCGAAUCUUUAUCUAAUUUAUUUUCUGUUCUUAUUGUGUUUUCAGCUUUUUUCUAUCUUAAGGAAUUAGCCCAAAAAUCUCCAAUUUUUAGGGUUCUUGCCGAUUCAUCCAUACUCUUUUUGGGAGAAAUUAGAUUGCCGAAAUUUGGGGAAAACUAUCUGGGUGUUCAAUUGGGCAGAAUCGCAAUCUCUUCUAGGGUUUCAAGAUUCCUUAUUAACACUUAUUUCUAUUCUCAAUUUGAUUCUUUGCUGAUUUGGGGAUUUUAUUUCAGAUCUGAAAAUUCAAAAAUCUAAUCUUUUAAUUUUCUGUUUCGUUUCAGAUCUAAUUGUUUAGGGUUUUCGUAGGAGUUUCCCGUGACUUGACAACUCGAUCUUGGUCCGCGCGCAACCCCGUAUCAUUUGGUAUCAGAUUUUGGGCGUUUUGGGUGUUCUUGGUUGAUUUCUAAACUGAUCUCUAUUUUUAAAAUUACAAACAGCAGUUUUACCUAGAAAAAUUUUCGAAAAAAAUUCAUUUGAGUGGGUAAACGUUUUCUGAUUGAUCUGAAAUUUUACAUACAUAUUUUUGGCACUGUUAUUGAAUAUAAAAAAAUAUUUCCCGCAAAAAAAUAAGUCGAAAAAGUCAAAAAAUUGAAAAAGACGAAAUCCAAUAAAAAGAUUAAAAAAAUUUUCAGCGGGUUGAAUUUGGUGCCCAAAUUUUCCAGAUCAAAAAUUCAAUAUUUGAAGACAUUCCAGAUUUAAUUUUGUGAUUUUUGUAGAUCGGGAACACCUCGAACGAAGUUGUCAAGUUACUCCGCAGUUUUUCGGGUUUUCUGUUUUCAGCAAUUUCUAUUGAUUCUUAGCUGUAGGUUUUCAUUUGUUUCCCUUUAUUCUUCCUUUACGUUAUCUAACACCUUCUUGUUUCUUGUGUUAGUAGGAUUUAAACGUGUGCACAACUUCUUCCUCGGUGCAACACGAAUCAAUUGGUGUCUCGUCAGUUUUUGGCAUCCUAGUGCAAAUUAGGAUUCUUUGGUAGUUUGGUUCAGACUCUCUAAUUGGUUGAUAUAAACUCUGAUAAAGAACUCACAAGAUUGAAUUCGACCUCAUUGAGAAUUUGAUUUUUUCUUUUUGAGUGAUUAACGGUGAGGUUUGAUAACUUUUAUUUUUGAGUGUUGAGUGUUUUGCAGGUUUUAAAAAAAAAUGUCUACAGGUGAUAAUAAUAGUGACAUAUUUAAAAAAUUCCAACAACAGUUGGAUGAACAGGCUGCUGCUCUUCGAGCUUUGACUGCUACCAUUAAUGAGGUGCGAUUGAAUCAAGAACCUCAUCCAAUCAAAGAAGAUAGGGAUAACCAACCCCAAAGGCGCGGCCCUCGACGUGUCACUAGAAUGGAUGAUAAUUUUCAUGAUCGUGGGCAACCUUCUUUGGCAAAACCGAAAUUCACAAUUCCCCAAUUUCGUGGUAAGAAUGAUCCUGACGCUUAUUGUGAAUGGGAAUCUAAGAUUGAACUUAUGUUUCGGUAUUAUAAAUGUCCGGAUGAUGAAAAGGUAGCGUUAGCAACACUGGAAUUUUCUGAUUAUGCAUUAAGUUGGUGGACUCAACUUGGGGUAAACCGCCAUCGGAAUUAUGAAGGUGAGAUUUCGACAUGGGAUGAGUUGAAACAGAUUAUGCGUAAAAGGUUUAUUCCACCUCACUACUAUAGAGAAAUUAAAACAAAGCUGAGAAGACUUAUCCAAGGUAGUAGGACGGUGGAUGAAUAUUUUAAAGAGAUGGAGAUGCUCAUUCAGAGAGCUAACAUGGAGGAGGAUGAAGAAACAACUAUGGUUCGAUUCAUUGAUGGUUUGAACAGGCCGAUAGCUAAUACAUUGAGGCUACAAACUUAUAUUGAUUUGGAAGAAGCAGUUCAUAAAGCCAUUGAGAUCGAGCAACAAUUAAAGGAACAAAGGUUUGGGUCAUUCUCUACUUCACAAUAUUACCGAGGUAACAAUUUCAAUUCUGAUUUUAAGAGUUCAAAAUCACCUUUUGUUACUAACAAGUCUUCUUUGAGUAAUGGAAGUAAACAAUCAGAUUGGAAAAAAGGGGCUCCUGCAAAAACGCAAACACCGUCUAAGCAGCCCAAUUUAAGUGAUUCGAGUGCGAAGAGGACUCGUGAGAUUGAAUGCUUUAAGUGCAAAGGGCGUGUUCAUUACAGUAGAGAAUGCCCUAACACGAGAUUACUUCUUCUAAAAGAUAACGGUGAGUACACUUCCGACUCUGAUAAUACAGAUCCAGAUAUGCCAGAACUUGUGGAUGACAGUGAUAAUGGCGACGAGUUGGUCAAACCACCAACGGAAGGGGACUUUGCUAAUUUUCAAUGCCUUGUAGUUCGUCGAACCCUUAACAUUCAGAUGAAAGAUGAUGAGAGUCAAAGGACCAAUAUUUUCCAUUCUCGGUGUUUUAUUAAAGGUAACUUAUGUUCACUCAUUAUUGAUCGUGGGAGUUGAUCGAAUGUAGUGAGUAGUUAUUUGGUGGAUUCUUUAAAGUUGCCUUGUACCAAACACCCUAAGCCAUAUCACCUUCAGUGGCUUAAUGAAUGUUCCGAAGUUAAAGUUACGAAACAGUCCUUGGUCACUUUUAAACUCGGCAAUUAUGAGGAUGACAUAUGGUGUGAUGUAGUCCCCAUGCAUGCGGCACACUUGCUCCUUGGACGACCUUGGCAAUUUGAUCGCGAUGUUACACACCAAGGUAAACUUAAUCGAUACUCCAUUGUAUUUAAAGGCAAGAAAUUCACUUUUGCUCCUUUAAAUCCUACUGAUGUAUAUAAAGAUCAAUUGAGGAUGAUAAAAUUUUGUGAGGGGGUAAUGGAGAAAGAGCAAGUACAAAAGACAGAGAGAAAAGAGGCUAAUAGUAGUGGAAAAAGUCAAAAUUUAAAAAGCCCAAAGGUGAGUGAAUCCUUUAGUGGUAAAAUGAGCGGAAAAAAUCUUUUGGCAACAAAAAAAGAUGUGAAGAGAGCCCUACUUAAUAAACAGCCUUGUAUCCUUGUGAGGUUUAGGCAAAAUUAUUUAUCUUUAUCUAACAUUAACGAAAAUUUGCCUAGUGUGUUUCAAUCUCUUUUGCAGGAUUAUGAGGAUGUUUUUAGUGAGGCCCCUAAAGGUUUACCACCUUUACGAGGGAUAGAACAUCAAAUUGACUUAGUACCCGGAGCUUCAAUCCCAAAUCGACCAGCCUAUAGAUGCAAUCCCGAUGAGACAAAGGAAUUGCAAAGGCAAGUGGAGGAAUUACUAGACAAAGGGUACAUUCGUGAGAGCCUAAGUCCUUGUGCUGUUCCUGUCUUAUUGGUGCCAAAGAAAGAUGGUACGUUUCGUAUGUGUGUUGAUUGUCGCCCAAUCAACAAGAUAACGGUAAAGUAUCGACACCCAAUCCCUAGACUUGAUGAUAUGCUUGAUGAAUUACAUGAUUCAAUAAUAUUUACAAAAAUUGAUUUAAAAAGCGGUUAUCAUCAAAUUCGAAUGAAGGAAGGGGAUGAAUGGAAAACAGCCUUUAAAACAAAAUUUGGAUUGUAUGAAUGGUUAGUUAUGCCUUUCGGCCUUACUAAUGCACCUAGUACAUUUAUGAGAUUAAUGAAUCAUGUUUUGAGGCUACAUUUGGGUAAAUUUGUAGUAGUUUACUUUGAUGAUAUUUUAAUUUACUCAAAGUCAUUAGAUGAUCAUGUUUUCCAUGUUCGAACCGUUUUGGAUCUUCUACGAAUUGAAAGAUUAUUUGCCAACCUUGAUAAAUGCACAUUCUGUUGUGAUAAACUAAUAUUCUUAGGUUUCAUAGUUAGUGCUCAAGGUAUUCAUGUCGACGAGGACAAAGUUAAGGCAAUUAAGGAGUGGCCGACUCCUAAAUCGGUAACUGAGGUGAGAUCUUUCCAUGGUUUAGCCAGUUUUUAUAGACGAUUUGUGAAAGAUUUCUCUACUAUUGCUGCCCCAUUGACUGAAGUUAUAAAGAAAUCAGUGGGUUUCAAAUGGGGUGAAACCCAAGAAAAGGCCUUUCAAACUCUAAAAGCUAAGUUAUGUUCUGUUCUUUUGCUUAAAUUACCUGAUUUUGCUAAAACUUUUGAACUUGAGUGUGAUGCUUCAAGAAUUGGAAUUGGCGCUGUUUUAAUGCAAGAUAAGCAACCUAUUGCUUAUUUUAGUGAGAAAUUGAAUGGUGCACAGUUCAACUACUCGACUUAUGACAAAGAACUAUUAGCAUUAGUUCGUGCACUUCAAGUAUGGCAACAUUAUUUGCUGCCUAAUGAGUUUGUCAUACACACAGAUCACGAAUCUCUUAAAUGGUUAAAGGGACAAGGUAAGUUGAGUAAAAGACAUGUUCGAUGGGUAGAAUUCAUUGAAACAUUCCCUUAUGUGAUACAAUAUAAAACAAGUAAAGAUAAUGUAGUUGCAGAUGCUUUGUCUAGACGAUAUACUUUAAUAACUACAUUGAAUGCUAAAGUCUUAGGGUUCGAACAUAUUAAGGAACUAUAUGAUGAUGAUGCUAAUUUCGGCCAUAUCUAUAAGAAUUGUGGACAUACUGCUUUCGAUAAAUUUUAUCUUGUAGAUGGCUUUCUUUUUCGUAUGAACAGGUUAUGCAUACCAAAGUGUUCCAUGAGAGACUUAUUGAUUCAUGAGGCCCAUAGUGGAGGUUUAAUGGGACAUUUUGGAGUGGCCAAAACACUGGAUAUUUUGCAAGAACACUUCCAUUGGCCACAUAUGAAAAAGGAUGUCGAAAAGGUAUGUUCCAAGUGCAUUACAUGCAAACAAGCAAAAUCUAAGGUAAUGCCUCAUGGCCUUUACACUCCUUUACCGAUUCCUACUUCACCUUGGGUAGAUUUAUCCAUGGACUUUAUUCUAGGUUUGCCUCGAAAUAAGAAAGGAAGAGAUAGUAUAUUUGUUGUUGUUGACAGGUUCUCAAAGAUGGCACAUUUUAUUUCUUGUCACAAAACAGAUGAUGCUACACAUGUAGCAGACUUAUUCUUUAAAGAGGUAGUAAGACUUCAUGGCAUCCCUAAAACAAUUGUUUCUGACAGAGAUGUCAAAUUUCUUAGCCACUUUUGGAAGGUAUUGUGGGGUAAGUUUGGUACUAAAUUACUUUAUUCCACUACAUGUCACCCCCAAACUGAUGGCCAAACCGAAGUAGUUAAUCGGAUCUUAGGGACUUUAUUACGAUCUGUUGUGGGAAAGAACAUUAGAAAUUGGGAAGAAUGCCUACCGUUUGUUGAAUUUGCAUAUAAUAGAUCUAUUCAUUCUACAACUGGUUAUUCUCCAUUUGAACUUGUUUAUGGUUUUAACCCACUAACAGUACUUGAUCUUGCGCCAUUACCACUUGAACACAUUGUUAAUUUAGAUGGUGAACAGAAAGCUGAGUUGGUGAAAUCCUUACAUGAGCAGGCUAGGCAACGAAUAGCCAAAACAUAUGAUGUCAACACCAACAAAGCAAACAAGGGGCGCAAACGGGUUGUCCUAGAACCCGGAGAUUGGGUUUGGGUCCAUAUGAGGAAAGAACGAUUUCCUGCAAGAAGAAAGACCAAGUUGGACCCAAGGGGCGAUGGGCCUUUCCAAGUACUCGAGAGGAUCAACGAUAAUGCCUAUAAAAUUGAUCUACCGGGUGAGUACAAUGUAAGUUCUACUUUUAAUGUGGCUGACUUGUCCCCAUUUGAUUUUUCAGAUUCGAGGUCGAAUCUUUUUGAGGAAGGGGGAAUGAUACGAGAUCAAAGGCCCGACAAAUGCGUUCCAAACUAAAUGGGACCAUCCAGGAGUUUGUUAGUAAGGCCUUAGAUGCGUACACAAAAGAAAGGAAAAAUCAAGAUUUCAAAUAUUGGGAAUCUUGGUCCAAGACACCAAAUCUUGCAGCCAAAGCGCAUUGGAUCUCCAUUACGAGCAUCAACGAUUCAAUUUCGGUAGGAGAUGGAUCACAAGCCCAAAUUCUUGAGGGUAAGGCCCAAUAAGAAGAUUCCAAGCCCAAUCAAGAAAUCCACCCAUACUUAGUUGAAAAUCAGGCCAAAUUGUCAAAGUGGCCCAAGUUGUAAAGUUUUAUUUUUAUUUAUUUAUUUAUUUAUUUUAUUUAGUUUAAAUUUUUAUAUUCAGUCCAAGAGUCCCAAAUAAAAGACCCUUGGCCGAAUUUCCAUAUUAAAAUAAUUAGGAGUUUUUUUUAGUUUUAGUUUUAGUGUUCUAAUUAAAUUAGGAAAACAUUUGAAAGGCCUAUUUAUAUGGCUUGGCCAGCCACCCUACAUUACAUUACAAUUACAUUGAAAAUUUCAGAUUUGAUUUGAGUGAAAAUUCUCUUUGAGUUCUUCAAGGAUUUUCUCUUGAGUUUUCUUUAGAAGUUGUUUUAACAAUCUUUUUGAUUGUGGGAGCCAUCUUCAACCUUCUUCUUGCCAUUGAUAUUCUUUGGAGGGGAGAUUAGAGCCGUUUGAAGGGAGUUGUGAGAUCUUUCAGGAUUUCAAGGCUUCUUAGGACUUAUCUUUUAAUUUCUUACUGUCAAUUCUUUCUUUAUUUCUGCUUGUGCCGAAUCUUUAUCUAAUUUAUUUUCUGUUCUUAUUGUGUUUUCAGCUUUUUUCUAUCUUAAGGAAUUAGCCCAAAAAUCCCUAAUUUUUAGGGUUCUUGCCGAUUCAUCCAUACUCUUUUUGGGAGAAAUUAGAUUGCCGAAAUUUGGGGAAAACUAUCUGGGUGUUCAAUUGGGCAGAAUCGCAAUCUCUUCUAGGGUUUCAAGAUUCCUUAUUAACACUUAUUUCUAUUCUCAAUUUGAUUCUUUGCUGAUUUGGGGAUUUUAUUUCAGAUCUGAAAAUUCAAAAAUCUAAUCUUUUAAUUUUCUGUUUCGUUUCAGAUCUAAUUGUUUAGGAUUUUCGUAGGAGUUUCUCGUGACUUGGCAACUCGAUCUUGGUCCGCGCGCAACCCCGUAUCAGAACCUUUCAUGUUUUGUAUAUUAUUUUUCUUUCAUUUUGUAUGUAUAUUGUCAACUUAAAAUAAAUGUAUUGUUUUGCAUGCUAUUCAAUUCAAAAUCAUUUGUAAUAAUUAUUUAUAUAGUGUUUUUAUCCAUGUAAAUUAUUUCAAAUUCGAGCAUGUAGUAUUCGUUCAUCAGUUCAUCACCCUUGUAAUUGUUUUGUAUCUUAUUGGUUUUAUCUUGUUUGAUAUAUUAUGUGGUAAUUGUUUUAUGUUAUUUCAUGUAUAUUGGUUGCACAUUAUUAAUUCGCCUUCUUACGUAUUAUUAUAUCAUUUGUUGUUCACCCAUGCUUGUAAAUUUUGUUAUUGUAAAUUAGUUGUUUGUUUGAUUUGAUGGGCUAAAUAAGAUUAUGUUAUCUUCAUUUACCAAAUUUUGUAUUUUAUGUGUAUAUGUCAUUUCGUGAUCAUUGUUUUCCUUUUGAUUUAUGAAAUGUUGCUUUAUAACUUCCAAUUCUUUGAAACUAAGUUUUUUUGAUUUAUUUCAAGUAAAAUUAAUGCGUUUUAAGCUAGUUUCACAAUUUCCUUUAAAACGAAGGCGAUAUUCGAUACUUGGUAAUUCGUGGAAUCGUGCCCUAAUGUGUUAGGUUGCAAUUCCUCGUUUGCUCAAAGUAAUCGAAGGUCCCUUUAGAAUUUCACCCACGGCUAUUAAAAAAUCCCUUAAACGAAGGUCAUAUGCGAUAUUUGGGAAUUCACGGAAUCGUACCCUAACGUGCUGGGUUGCAAUUUCUUGUCUGCUUAAAACAAUCAAAUAUCCCUUUAAAAUUUCACUCAUAUCUUUUAAAAAUCCUUUAAAACGAAGGCAAUACUCGGGGUUUGACAAUUCGGGAAUCAUGCCCUAUCGUGUUGGGUUGUGAUUUCUUAUUUGUUCAAAACAAUUGAAUAUUCCUUUAGGUUUUUUACUCAUGUUUAUUAAAAACCUUUCAAAACGAAGGCGACUCUAGAUGUUUGGCAAUUUGAGAAUUGUGCCCUAUCGUGCUGAGUUGCACUUUUUCAUUUGUUCAAGGCAAUCGAAGAUUCCUUCGGAAUUUCACUCUUAUUUUUUAAGGCGAGGUAAUGUUAAAUGUUUGAAAAUUCGAGGAAUCAUGCCCUACUGUGCUAUGUUUCAGUUUUUCGUGGGACCAAAUAGUUGGGCAUCCCUUUUGUAAUUUUUGAAUUAUAAACUUCUGAAAGUCGAAACAAGAAGAUUUUUGGCAACUCACUUGGGUUACUCAAAAAGAACCACAUUUCAAAAAUAUUUUUAAUUUUAGACAUAAGGACAGUAUUUAAUCGAUUUGGUACCAAUUUUGGGUGUAAUGAGGGUGCUAAUCCUUCCUCAUACGUAACCGACUCCCAAGCCUAUUUUCUCAUAUUCUCGUAGACCAGAAUCGUUGUUUUAAUAAACCAAAAAUGUUUUAUUAAAAUAACCAAAUUCUUAGGUGACCUGAUCACACCAAAACAAAAGGAUCGGUGACGACUCCAUGUAUUUGUUUUUCAAAAGUUGAUUCCCUCGUAUUUUCAUUAAAUUUAAAAAUUUUAAAAAUUUGAAAAAAGGGAUGGUUUCGACACACACAUAUUCUUUGGGAGGCUCGAUCACUCAAGGAACACCCGUCCGGGCUAGAUCCUUUCUAUACUUGAGAUCAACGGAUUACCCGUCUAGGCUAAAUCCUUUUCUACAACACAUGCAGGAUCUCAAGUCAUGUAAGCCAUGAUUUAUCCAUCGAAUUCCCUUUUUGACUUCAACUGGGACAUUUAUUAUCAUAUCAUUAUUAUUAACACAUUUCAUAGAUUUUCAUGCCAUCACUAUAACCAAUUAUCAUACAUUCAUAAAACAUGCAAUUAGACAUAUUAAUAGUUUACUUAAAGUUAUUUGAACUUACCUGGUAUCCAUUUGGAUUUUGCGUCUCGGUUAUUCUGAAACCUUUCGUUUUCCUCGAUCGACCUUCAGAAUUUGUUCCUCAGGGUCUAUAACAAUAAAAAUGAAUCAUUAAUACCUCAAAUUAUUCUUUUUGAGUUUAAAUUUCACCCCUAGACAAAAUGACCGUUUUGCCCCUAGCCUUUCACAUUGUUUAUGAUUUAGUCCCUAGGCUCGUAUGAUGAAAUGCAUGAAUUUUCUACAUUACCCAAGUCUAGCCGAAUGUUCUUUCCUCUUAUGGUAGCCCACAUUCUUCCAUUAUUUCACAUUUCUACCACAUAUUUUACACCUUUUGCAAAAAUGUCAUUUUAGGGGUUUUUCAUGAAAAUCACCUAGAAAAAGAUAUUUAACACACAUCCAACUUUCAUAUUCCUCCAUAAAACAUCAAAGAAUAAACAUGUCAGACAUGGGUCACUUUGAAAACAUGAACCCUAACUCAAAAUAUAGGUAGAAAUGGAGAAAGUUAUCGGGAUUUCAAAAAUACGAAGAACAUUAAAAACGAGGCUUGAGAGCACUUACUAUUGAGCUUGAAAAUGUUGAAAACCCUAGCUAUGAAGGGCUUGAGAAAUUCGGCUAGGUGAGGGAGAAGAAUGGCUGAUUUUUGCCUUCAUUUUCCAAUUUUAUUUCAUUAAUUAGCCAAAUGACCAAAAUGCCCUUAAGCCAUUUCUUUAAAAUUUUAUCCAUACAAGCUCAUUUUUGUCCAAAAACUUAGAAAUUGGGAAAAUUUCUCUUUAAGGACUUCUAAUUAAUAAUCUAAAGCAAUUUCAUGCAAAUUGCUUCUAGAAUCCAAGUUUUGACUUUAUUUAAUUUGGUCCUUAUUUUCCAAUUAGACACCUUGCUCAUAGGAUUUCUUCAUGAAACUUAACACAUGCAUAUUUUCAUAUUCUAUACCUCAUAAUAAUCAUAAAAAAAUAUUUCAACAUCGAAUUUGUGGUCCCGAAACCACUGUUCUGACUGGGCCCUAUUUUAGGAUGUUACAUAAAGCAUAUGACAGAGUGGAGCGAUUUUAUCUGAAAAAAGUCAUGCAAAAAAUAGGUUUUGUAGAGUCCUUCAUAUCGUUAAUCAUGAGAUGUGUAAAGAAGAAUAUUUAUUUGGUUUGUCUGAAUGGGAUGAUAGGCGAAAGUUUUAGACCAAUGACAGGUUUGCGACAAGGUGAUCCUUUGAGCCCAUAUCUUUUUUUAAUAUGUAGCGAAGGCUUGUCAUCUUUGAUAAGACUUGCAGCUAGGGAAGCCUCUUUAAAGGGAGCAAAGGUUUUUCGAAAAGGACCCUCAAUUACACAUUUAUUGUUUACAGAUGACCGCAUUCUUUUUGGGGACGCAUCAGUUAGAAGAACUAAUAAUCUCAAAGGUGUUUUAUGAGAGUAUGAAGUAUGCUCAGGACAAUGUAUUAACUUCAAAAAGUCAAUAGCAUAUUUUAGUACAAAUGUCUCUAAGAAAAUUCUAGAACAGGUUGCUAGCAUACUGGAAGUUCAAACCUCCAACAACCCAGAAAAAUAUCUAGGAUUACCAAAUAUGGUUGGAAGGGAUAAGAAAAGAUCUUUCCAAAUUUUAAAAGACAGGAUGAUUAGUAAGGUUAGAGGGUAGAGCACAAGAUUUUUGUCGAUAGGGGGGAAGAAGGUUUCCAUAAAAACAGUACUGCAAGCCAUUCCAACCUACACUAUAUUGUGUUUUUUAUUACCAAAUUCAUUGUGAAAGAAUUAGAAAAUAUAAUAAGCCAAUUUUGGUGGCAAAAAAAUCAUGAAAAACGUGGCAUCCACUGGUGCGAAUGGAGUAAGCUGGGUAAGUUAAAAGAGGAUGGGGGAAUGUGAUUUCGAUGUCUUUCAAAUUUUAACGUGGCUAUUCUUGCUAAAUGAAGUUGGCGUUUGAUUUAUUAUCCAAAUUCAUUAUUAGCCAAAUCUUUAAAAGCUAAAUACUACCCAAACUCAGAUUUUAUGCAUGCACGAUUAGGGAGUUUACCAUCAUAUACCUGGCAAAGCCUUUGGUCCGCAAAAGGACUUCUUGAAACAGGAAUGGGCUAACGAGUUGGGUCGGGAACUCAAAUUCAAAUCUGGAAUGAUGCAUGGAUUCAAGGCUUGGCUGACUACAAGAUUCAAUUUCCAUAAAGCACCCAAAGUCUUGUGUUAGUUUUUGAACUCAUUGAACAAAAAUCAAAUCAGAGGAAGAAAGAGUUAAUUCAAUAUACCUUCUACCAAGAUGACGCAACAAGGAUUCUUUGCAUCCCUCUCUCACUUGAAAAAGAAGUGGAUAAAAUUAUAUUGCACGAAGAAGCCUCAGGAGGUUACACAGUACGGAACGGGUAUAAAAAUUUAAUACAAUCAGAAUUAUCAACAAAUUUACAGAAAAACCAAAUUAUUUACAAACCCAUGUAUAAAUAACUUUGAAAGAUAAACUUGCCAUCCAAAAUAAAAAUUUUAGUAUGGAAGUCGUUAAAGAACUUCCUUCCUACUUUUUCUAAUCUGGUUCAAUGAAAGAUAAGAGACUCUGCGACUUGCCCAAGAUGUAGUAAUAUUGAAGAAACCAGAGAGCAUUUUUUCGGGAUUGUUUCUUUGCAACAGAAGUUUGGACAAGGCUAGGAAUUGGAUGGCCACUGGAACAAAAUCAGACACAAUUUUAGAAUUGGAUGCAUUAUUUAUUUGACAAAAAAUCAAAAAGUCAGAUAAGAAGCAUUGCAUGUGGUAUAUGGGGCUUAUUGUCUGCAAGAAAUAGGCUACUUCAUGAAAAUAAGGCACAAACAGAAGAGAAAGUUGCCCAAUUUAUUUUAGACUACAUAUAGGAAAUCGAAAGGGUAAAUAGGAAAAUACCUCUCAACACAACUGCUAAUGAAAACUAGAAGCCACCAAACGGUUUGAAUGUCAAAAUCAAUUUUGACGCUGCAUUUGAAAGACAGAAUUUUAGAUUGUGUACAAGAAUCGUUAUAAGGAAUGUUUUGGGUCAACUAUUAAAAACUAAAAUUUACAGAAACGAACAUAUACCAACAACAUUUGCAGCAGAAGCUCUCGCCUGCGUCCAGGCAAUACGUUUUGGGGCAGAAUCUGGUUUCUUACAAGUUGAAGUCGAGGGUGAUGCGUUAACUGCCAUCAAGAAAUUAAAAGGUCAGGAGGAGGAUGGAUUAGAAAUUAGAGCAUACAUUCUUGAUGCAAAACGAUUAUACAGUAAUUUUGUUACUAGUGAUUUUCAACAUGCAAGGAGACAAACGAAUAAAGUAGCUCACCUAUUAGCACAAGAAGGCUUAAGGGAAAGUGAAAAUACAUAUCUUAGGUCUGGCUUCUCCAGUGCGGUUGCAAGAGCUGUUGAAACUGAUAGGCCAAUAAUCAAUUAAAGCAUAUUUCUUUGACAGAAUCUGAAGACAAAAGGGGAAAUGGCUAUCUACAAAAGGGGAAAUGGGACAAAAGGGGAAAUGGCUAUCUACAAAAGGGGAAAUGGCUAUCUCUAUUUGAAAAAUAGGGAUUAGUUUGGGAAUUUUAAAAGAAAUAUAUGGAUGUCAAUAAUGGAAAGGUGUUUCGGGUAAUGCGUCAAUCCUAUUGAAGAAUGACCAAAAUAGUGAGAAAACUCACUAAUCAUGGAAAUACUUUACCAAGAGAGGAGAAGCUAAGAUUCAUGGCGGUUUACUAAAGAAACAUUGAAAAUAAAAAUGUGAAAGAAGAAGGGAAACCAUCUGAAAUGAAGAUUGGCUACGGUGACUGAUUUAGGGUUUCUUGAAAUGUUAUUUCGUUUAGGCAUUAGUAUUUUUUAG